RNAcentral lists this long non-coding RNA (286 nucleotides) under Vombatus ursinus (common wombat). RNAcentral describes it as "lncRNA (ENSVURG00010007448.1)". Lineage: Eukaryota; Metazoa; Chordata; Mammalia; Diprotodontia; Vombatidae. The record is from RNAcentral.
UUUCUUUUUGGGCAGAGUACCCCGUAGAGCUAAGGGAGGUUUCGCUUUCCGUCGCCAUGUUAAGUUCAGGCAACGGCUUCAGAGAUAUCCUAUUGGAAUCAAUAUUGAUGGGAUCUAACAAGCUUAUUGUUAAGUGUAGGAACUUUGCUGUGUUAGUAGAUCUUCAUAUUUUGCCUCAAGGCUCAAGAAAAGAAACCAGCUGGUUUUCAGAACAGAUGAAAAAGGUACCUAAAGAAUUCUGAGAGAAUUGGAGAAUUCUAGAGAACUUUAGACUUCUGUGUGACUU